This is a long non-coding RNA of Sander lucioperca (pikeperch), 1513 nucleotides long. RefSeq lists it as uncharacterized. The transcript has 2 exons. Lineage: Eukaryota; Metazoa; Chordata; Actinopteri; Perciformes; Percidae. The record is from RefSeq and is a predicted model, not a curated record.
GGACGCACACACCAACGCACAAAGUAUAAACAUCAGGCCACUUACGUAGGCUAUGGCGGAAGCUCUGCGUGGAGCCUCCGCAGAACCAUGAAUCCCGCUUAAGAGUCUGUUGACUGCAGAGGAAAAUGUAUGAUGCUGCCAUAAAAGUGCAGAAAAUGUCCAAAGCUCGUUUUUGCAGACCAAUACUAGUUGUGCACUGACCUCGUUGACAAAUAAUGCUUUUCCUGUUCCUUACAAGAAAAUCCUUCCUGUGGUUCAACGGUGAAAAUCUUUUAAAAGGAAGCAACUAAAGCAGGACAGGAAAUGUCUCCAGCAGUCGUAGUUAGGCAGAAUGAAGAAAUGCAGUACGAGCAAGAUUUUUAAGAUAACGGUGAUUUUACUGACCUCUCUCAUUAUUUAUUAUUAUUUAAGAUAAUGAAGUGCAAGGGCUUGGUUUGAGACGUUUGGGGGGGGGGCGGCACAAUAAAACAGAGGGUUUUGGGGUCUUCCCCCAGAAAACAAUUUGCGUUUUGAAUCCCAUCUUCUGUUUCUACAUACGUUUAAGGACUACGGUAUCAAUACAAAAUAAUUCAUUGUGCAAUAUUCUGCCAGAAUAAUACUAAAUGUGGAUAAGAAAAAGCUGCCUGGCUUUCUGUAUUGUUUAAUCCACAACUUUAUUGAACUUGAUGUAGUUCAAAUGAGCGUAACCUUAAACAUCUACAGUAUAGAAUGCGACAUAUGCAUUAAUGCAGCAGUGAUAUUAAUCCAGAAACAUUAUAUAGAAUAGUAAAACACUGACAGGGAACAUUUUAUUGCAUAAUCAAUACUUUUACUUUUGAUGUUGUUUUUAAACUUUUUUUUACUGACACAUCUUGCUGAUAAUACUUACAUAGCGGUACUUUUACUUCAGUAAGGUUUUGAAUGCUGUACUUUUAUUAGUAGUGAAGUAUUUUCACAGUUUGGUAUUAUUCUCUGCCAUUAUAACAGGUUAAUGUUAGGCUCUUGUUAAUGUAAGAGCCUAACCAUUGAGUAACACCAUGACUUAAUUUUUGGCUUAACACAGUUGGAGUACUGGUAACAGAGGAGAGCCAGAAGUUACAAGUGCCCCAGAUGAAAUGGUUUUAUAGUGCCUUCUUUAUUCUUAAAACUAGGUUGAAUCAGGUUAUUGCUUAACUGACUGACAUGUGUUGUUGAUUCUCAGUAACUGGUAAAACAAGCCAUACACCUUUUUAUUAUAAAGAUAACAAAGGUCUUUUAUGUGGAUUAGAAUUUAAUAUUUUAAUACUAUAACAAUCUGGGGAGAGGAUAAUGCCCAGUGGCCAUAUUCACAAAACAUCUUAAGCCUAAAAGUAGCUCCUAUAACUCCUCCUCUGACUCUUAAAGAAAUGGGCGUGUCAAUCCUAAUUUUAGGACGCCUAAAUUUUGGAUCUUAGAGUAUUUCACAAAGCGUUUUAGUGCUAAAACCAGCUCCUAAAUCUGUGAAAAGUAAGAAGUAGUCAAGAGGACUCCUAAGUCACUAAGAGCAAAUCACAAA